This is a long non-coding RNA of Diceros bicornis minor, 2675 nucleotides long. RefSeq lists it as uncharacterized. Lineage: Eukaryota; Metazoa; Chordata; Mammalia; Perissodactyla; Rhinocerotidae. The record is from RefSeq and is a predicted model, not a curated record. The transcript is spliced from 2 exons.
AAUCCAAGAGAGACAUCUCACUGAAGAUAAGGGAGCUUCUUCCUCAAGAUCCGAAAAGGAGCCUGGAGUGACACCUGUGUCGGGAAUCCUCAGAAGGAGGGAGUGACCACCUGGAACCCAAGGAGCGUGCUUCCUGGGGAGGCUCCUGUCUGAUGUGCAGGAGACAGAAUGCCACACUGACUCUCCCAGGGGCGGCUACAGGGGACCGGGACCGACACGCGGUGUCUCACCCUCCGCUGCAGGGGACGCUGUGCAGCGCUUUUCCUAGAAGUGAGAGGCACGAGAUUACUUUACAAGAGGAAGAUUCCAGGGGCUUAAAAACACAAAGGUUUGCACCUUGGGAGCCCCUUGGAAUGUUGACAACUCAGGAUCUAAAAGAAAGUUCUGUGUUAAUGAGUUACAGAAUUCAUGUGGGAGUAAAUGUCACUUUAUAAUCAAUAAUAAUACUGAGUGAGGAACACUAUGCAGGAAGAAACCUUCCAUAGAAAGACAGGCAGGGAAAAGCUUAGGCCGACCUUAAACCUAUGGAUUAGAGCAAGCCUGAGAUAAACUGCUAAAAUGGCCAAAUAAGAGACUUUAUGAAAUAGCAGUCCUGUAACUGUAGUAGUUGUAAGGAAAUUUUCUCCUCUAAAUCACGAUACCAAAUAGGAAAAAUGAUCUACAAGUGCCCCAUGUGUAGGGAAUUUUUCUCUGAGAGAGCAGAUCUUUUUAUGCAUCAGAAAAUUCACACUGCUGAGAAGCCCCAUAAAUGUGACAAGUGUGAUAAGGGUUUCUUUCAUAUAUCAGAACUUCAUAUUCAUUGGAGAGACCACACAGGAGAGAAAGUCUAUAAAUGUGAUGAUUGUGGUAAGGAUUUUAGUACUACAACAAAACUUAAUAGACACAAGAAAAUCCACACCGUGGAAAAGCCCUAUAAGUGUUAUGAGUGUGGCAAAGCCUUCAAUUGGAGCUCACAUCUUCAGAUUCACAUGAGAGUUCAUACAGGUGAGAAACCCUAUGUCUGUAGUGAGUGUGGGAGGGGCUUUAGUAAUAGUUCAAACCUUUGCAUGCAUCAGAGAGUCCACACCGGAGAGAAACCUUUUAAAUGUGAAGAGUGCGGGAAGGCCUUCAGGCACACUUCCAGCCUCUGCAUGCAUCAAAGAGUCCACACAGGAGAGAAACCCUAUAAAUGUUACGAAUGUGGGAAGGCCUUCAGCCAGAGCUCGAGCCUCUGCAUCCAUCAGAGAGUGCACACGGGGGAGAAGCCCUACAGAUGUUGUGGGUGUGGGAAGGCCUUCAGCCAGAGCUCAAGCCUCUGCAUCCAUCAGAGAGUGCACACUGGGGAGAAACCUUUUAAGUGUGAUGAGUGUGGGAAGGCCUUCAGUCAGAGCACCAGCCUCUGCAUCCACCAGAGAGUACACACGAAGGAGAGAAACCAUCUCAAAAUAUCAGUUAUAUAAAGCGUUUUGCUAAGAGUUAAAAAUCUUAAAACCCAUAAGUGCCACUAGGAAGGAAACCCUGUAAAUACCUACAUUGACCCAAGAAAUUUUUACAGCAAGCCCCAGCAGAACGUUCUUUUCAAAGAGGCAUAUGUAAGGUUGAUUUUUUUGAUUCAUGCCAAGUGUGUUCCACACUUGACUUCUGAAUCUGGAGUCUCUCUGUGUGCCCAGGACGGGCUGUGAGCUCCCAGUUGUGGGUGUGCGUUUCCUGGGGUUCUGGCACGGCACCUCGCUGGUUGAAAUACUGCACAGGAAACCGUGGUCACUGCCCAGCCUCCUGAGUCACCUUCUGUCUACACUUCAUCUGAAAGCUGCCCAGAUACUCUGUCUGUGGGGGCUCACGCCCUUCCUCCUCUUGAUUCAAGCAUACUGGUUAGUGCAUUUGGAAACGGACAGCUCCCACUAAGAUAGUGUUCUGGUAUUUCUGAGGUUACCACUUGAUUCAGCCCCUGCAUGUCUUUCCAUGUAUCCCAUUAUUUCUGAACCCACUUUACCCAUAUGUCCUUAAAAUACCCACAAAUAUCCACCCCUUCCUAGAUGGCAUUAAAUUUCAUUUUAGAUUGUAGGUGACUCAUAAAUUCCAUUCACUUGGUCUAUCAGAAAUCAUUGGCAGACAUACAUGCCCUUGAACUUUUCUUGAUCUUUUUUUUAAUUUUGUGGAUUCUGCUAAUCACUGUAUCUCUGUUAGUCAGACUUAAUUUUAUAGUGGCUACAUCACAUAUUUUUAACUUGAAUUUUUUUGGAAAUAGCUGAAUGUAAAUAGCAGGGAGGAAGAAGCAAGCAAAGUUGGAACUUUCCUCCAUCCAGAGUUGCCCUCUCAGGCUCCUUCUGUAACGUGUGGAGCUCCUUACUAGCUGGGGGAGGCCAUAGGAGACGUGGAUGGUAGGAGGGGUCACUGAUAAUAAUUAGUCUCUGUUUCUGUAAUUUUAGGCAAUAAUGUGUGGGAGUCCUUGAAACUCCUUCAUUGAGGAUUAUGUCAAUUCCUUUUCAGGCAUGACUGUCUGUGUUAAUCUAUCCUUCUUUUCUUUCUUCGUUCAUUUGAUGAGUAUUUAUUGAACACCUCCUGCAUGCCAGGCACUGUGCUCGGUGCUGGGGAUACCACUGAAUAAGACAGACAAGGGGCCUACUCUCAAGGAGUUUACUUCUGGUGGAGGAGACAGAUGAUAAGCAAGUAAACAAAUAAAUAAUGUAGUUUGA